Non-coding RNA from Lasiosphaeria miniovina, 85 nucleotides. The record is from the annotation of a RefSeq genome assembly. Lineage: Eukaryota; Fungi; Ascomycota; Sordariomycetes; Sordariales; Lasiosphaeriaceae.
GGUUCUAUAGUGUAGCGGUCAUCACAUCGGAUUCUGAACAAACUCGGCUCUUCCGGUAACCCCGGUUCGAUUCCGGGUAGGACCU